GAUAUUUCCAACUCUAAUUAUAGUAUUUUGGUUCUUGUGUAUAAAGUUAGAAUCAUAAAUAAUAGUCAACGUUAAACUGGUACACAAUUAAAAACAUUUUAUUUAAGCCUAUCUAUAGUCUUCAAAAAGUUGACGACUCUACAUGUUUCGACGUUACAACGUCAUCCUUUGUCGU
Molecule: long non-coding RNA, 175 nt
Organism: Limulus polyphemus (Atlantic horseshoe crab)
Lineage: Eukaryota; Metazoa; Arthropoda; Merostomata; Xiphosura; Limulidae
Exons: 3
Source: RefSeq, a predicted model, not a curated record